Molecule: ribosomal RNA, 406 nt
Filed under: uncultured bacterium
Lineage: Bacteria
Description: partial 16S ribosomal RNA
Rfam family: Bacterial small subunit ribosomal RNA
Source: RNAcentral
AUUGAACGCUGGCGGCAGGCCUAACACAUGCAAGUCGAACGAGUGGCGGACGGGUGAGUAAUGUCUGGGAAACUGCCUGAUGGAGGGGGAUAACUACUGGAAACGGUAGCUAAUACCGCAUACCAUCGGAUGUGCCCCGAUGGGAUUAGCGAGUAGGUGGGUUAAAGGCCCACCUAGGAGACGAUCCCUAGCUGGUCUGAGAGGAUGACCAGCCACACUGGAACUGAGACACGGUCCAGAAUCAUACGAGAGGCAGCAGUGGGGAAUAUUGGACAAUGGGCGCAAGCCUGAUGCAGCCAUGCCGCGUGUAUGAAGAAGGCCUUCGGGUUGUAAAGUACUUUCAGCGGGGAGGCGUUACCCGCAGAAGAAGCACCGGCUAACUCCGUGCCAGCAGCCGCGGUAAUAC